Molecule: ribosomal RNA, 497 nt
Filed under: uncultured bacterium
Lineage: Bacteria
Description: partial 16S ribosomal RNA
Rfam family: Bacterial small subunit ribosomal RNA
Source: RNAcentral
GAUGAACGCUGGCGGCGUGCCUAAUACAUGCAAGUCGAGCGAACAGACGAGGAUCUUGCUCCUCUGACGUUAGCGGCGGACGGGUGAGUAACACGUGGAUAACCUACCUAUAAGACUGGGAUAACUUCGGGAAACCGGAGCUAAUACCGGAUAAUAUAUUGAACCGCAUGGUUCAAUAGUGAAAGACGGUUUUGCUGUCACUUCUAGAUGGAUCCGCGCCGCAUUAGCUAGUUGGUAAGGUAACGGCUUACCAAGGCAACGAUGCGUAGCCGACCUGAGAGGGUGAUCGGCCACACUGGAACUGAGACAAGGUCCAGACUCCUACGGGAGGCAGCAGUAGGGAAUCUUCCGCAAUGGGCGAAAGCCUGACGGAGCAACGCCGCGUGAGUGAUGAAGGUCUUCGGAUCGUAAAACUCUGUUAUUAGGGAAGAACAAAUGUGUAAGUAAAUAUGCACGUCUUGACGGUACCUAAUCAGAAAGCCACGGCUAACUACGUG